ACGAACGCUGGCGGCGUGGAUUAGGCAUGCAAGUCGAACGAGGAUAUAUCCUUCGGGAUAUAAGCCGAGUGGCGCAAGGGUGAGUAAUGCAUAGAUUACCUGCCUCUAGGAUAAGGACAACUUUGUGAAAACGAAGCUAAUACUUAAUAAUACAAAAGAAAAUAAUUUUCUUUUGUCAAUGGGAGGGUAGCAAUACCUUUUGCCUGGAGAGGGGUUUAUGUCCUAUCAGCUUGUUGGUGGGGUAAUGGCCUACCAAGGCGAAGACGGGUAGCCGGACUUAGUGGUUGGUCGGCCACACUGGGACUGAGACACUGCCCAGACUUCUACGGAAGGCUGCAGUCGAGAAUCUUUCGCAAUGCCCGAAAGGGUGACGAAGCGACGCCGCGUGGGUGAGGAAGGCCUUCGGGUUGUAAAGCCCUGUCAGGAGUUAAGAAAUGUAAGUGCGCUAAUAUCGCAUUUAUUUGACGAAGGCUCCAAAGGAAGUCACGGCUAACUCUGUGCCAGCAGCCGCGGUAAUACAGAGGUGGCAAGCGUUGUUCGGAAUUAUUGGGCGUAAAGAGCACGUAGGUGGGUUUGUAAGUCAGAUGUGAAAGCCUUCUGUUCAACGGAAGAAUUGCAUCUGAAACUGCGAGUCUUGAGUGUAGGAGGGGAGAAUGGAACUUCUGGUGGAGCGGUGAAAUGCGUAGAUAUCAGAAGGAACGCCGGCGGCGAAAGCGAUUCUCUGGCCUAUUACUGACACUCAGUGUGCGAAAGCUAGGGGAGCAAACGGGAUUAGAUACCCCGGUAGUCCUAGCCGUAAACGAUGGGCACUAAGUAGAGGGAAUUACCGAUGUUCUCUCUGCCGUAGCUAACGCAUUAAGUGCCCCGCCUGGGGAGUACGGCCGCAAGGCUAAAACUCAAAAGAAUUGACGGGGGCUCGCACAAGCGGUGGAGCAUGUGGCUUAAUUCGAUGCAACGCGAAGAACCUUACCAGGUCUUGACAUGCACGGGACAGCCAUAGAAAUAUGGUUUCUCUUCGGAGCCCGUGUGCAGGUGCUGCAUGGCUGUCGUCAGCUCGUGUCGUGAGAUGUUGGGUUAAGUCCCGCAACGAGCGCAACCCCUACCUUUAGUUGCCAGCGGGUCAUGCCGGGAACUCUAGAGGGACUGCCGGUGAUAAACCGGAGGAAGGUGGGGAUGACGUCAAGUCCUCAUGGCCUUUAUGUCCAGGGCUACACACGUGCUACAAUGGUCGGCACAAAGAGUCGCGAUACCGCGAGGUGGAGCUAAUCUCAAAAAACCGAUCUCAGUUCGAAUUGGAGUCUGCAACUCGACUCCAUGAAGUUGGAAUCGCUAGUAAUCGUGGAUCAGCAUGCCACGGUGAAUACGUUCCCGGGCCUUGUACACACCGA
This 1388-nucleotide ribosomal RNA is filed under the name uncultured prokaryote. RNAcentral's name for it is "partial 16S ribosomal RNA". It matches the Rfam family "Bacterial small subunit ribosomal RNA", at positions 29 to 1393 of the family's 1533-position model. The record is from RNAcentral.